RNAcentral lists this long non-coding RNA (911 nucleotides) under Homo sapiens (human). RNAcentral describes it as "HSALNT0031738". Lineage: Eukaryota; Metazoa; Chordata; Mammalia; Primates; Hominidae. The record is from RNAcentral.
UAGCAAUAGCAAUAAUAAUGCUUCACUACAUGAAGUCAAAGCAGGUGCAGUUAAUAACCAAAGCAGGCCACAAAGCCACAGCAGUGGAGAAUUUAGCCUGCUUCAUGACCAUGAGGCUUGGUCCAGCAGUGGUAGCAGUCCAAUCCAGUACUUGAAAAGACAGACCAGAUCAAGCCCAGUGCUCCAGCACAAAAUAUCUGAAACACUGGAGAGUCGACAUCACAAGAUCAAAACUGGUUCCCCUGGAAGUGAAGUUGUUACUCUACAACAGUUUUUGGAAGAAAGCAAUAAGCUUACCUCAGUACAGAUAAAGUCCUCAAGUCAAGAGAAUCUUUUAGAUGAAGUAAUGAAAAGUUUGUCUGUCUCUUCUGACUUUUUGGGAAAAGACAAACCAGUUAGCUGUGGUCUGGCCAGCGUGAUCUCAACUGCCGAAGGAACUACACGAAGGACAAGCAUCCAUGAUUUUUUGACCAAGGACAGUAGACUGCCUAUAUCAGUUGAUUCACCACCAGCUGCUGCUGACAGCAACACCACUGCAGCAUCUAAUGUGGACAAAGUACAAGAAAGCAGAAAUUCAAAAAGCAGGUCUAGGGAGCAACAAAGCUCCUAAUUCUAUUACCCACUACAUGACAUGUGGGCCAAGUGCUACACUUAGUCCUGAGAUGUAUUUUUUCUUUAAGUCUUGAAUGAAUACAAAAGGAGCCCAUUUUAUAAUAUAAACCUUGAUGUACAUGUUGAGAUAUUUGGACAAUGAAAAUGCCUUAAAAGGAAUGCAUAUGGAUAAAGUUGCACUUAUAACACCCUUCAACAAAAUCUAAUUUUAAAUUGUCUUUUUCUUUUCUAUUAAGGGUUUUCUUUUUCAGUGUCUACCAUUGUACUUAUAACUGUUAUUAAAUACCAAAUCAAAUAAU